GAAAGUAAAUAAGGGCGCAUGGCGGAUGCUUGGCUCUCGGAGGCGAUGAAGGACGUGAUAAGCUGCGAUAAGCUUCGGGUAGGUGCAAAUGACCUUUGAUCCGAAGAUUUCCGAAUGGGACAACCCGGCAUUCUGAAGGAAUGUCAUCCAACUUUGUUGGAGGCUAACGCAGGGAACUGAAACAUCUUAGUACCUGCAGGAAAAGAAAAUAAAUAAUGAUUCCCCUAGUAGUGGCGAGCGAACGGGGAUUAGCCCAAACCACCCAUGUUACGGCAUGUGUGGGGUUGUAGGACCACGCUCUCGCAAGACAGUUAUUGAGAAGAAACGGCUGGAAAGUCGUGCCAUAGACGGUGAUAGCCCGGUAUUCUAAGGUAACCGAAGCGUAGUGGUAUCCUGAGUAGCGCGGAGCACGAGGAAUUCUGCGUGAAUCAGCCGGGACCAUCCGGUAAGGCUAAAUACUCCCGAGAGACCGAUAGCGAACCAGUACUGUGAAGGAAAGGUGAAAAGCACUUCGAAUAGAAGAGUGAAAUAGUCCCUGAAACCAUGCGCCUACAAGCGGUCGGAGCAGCUUAAGUUGUGACGGCGUGCCUUUUGCAUAAUGAACCUACGAGUUACUUUUUCCGGCAAGGUUAAGCAUCUUGAGAUGUGGAUCCGAAGCGAAAGCGAGUCUGAACAGGGCGGAUAGUCGGAAGGAGUAGACGCGAAACCAAGUGAUCUACCCUUGGGCAGGUUGAAGGUUAGGUAACACUAACUGGAGGACCGAACCGAUAAGCGUUGAAAAGCUUCCGGAUGACCUGAGGGUGGGGGUGAAAGGCUAAUCAAACUUGGAGAUAGCUCGUACUCCCCGAAAUGCAUUUAGGUGCAGCCUUGAGAGUUACUAAUGUGAGGUAGAGCGACUGAUAAGAUGCGAGGGCUUCACCGCCUAUCAAGUCUUGAUAAACUCCGAAUGCGCAUUAGUUCUAUCUCAGGAGUGAGGGCAUGGGUGCUAAGGUCCAUGUCCUAAAGGAGAAGAAUCCAGACCAUCAGCUAAGGUCCCCAAAUAAACACUAAGUUGAACUAACGAAGUCAGAUUGCUAAGACAGCUAGGAUGUUGGCUUGGAAGCAGCCAUUCAUUUAAAGAGUGCGUAACAGCUCACUAGUCGAGGAGUUUGGCGUGGAUAAUAAUCGGGCAUAAGUAUUCUACCGAAGCUUUGGGAUGAGAAAUCAUCGGUAGGGGAGCAUUCCACUCGGCGUCGAAGGUGAGGCGUGAGCCUUGCUGGAGCGUGUGGAAAAGCAAAUGUAGGUAUAAGUAACGAUAAGGCAGGCGAGAAACCUGCCCGCCGAAAGACUAAGGUUUCCUGAUCAACGCUAAUCGGAUCAGGGUAAGUCGGGUCCUAAGGCUCAGCCGAACGGCGAGGCCGAUGGCAGAACCGGUUAAUAUUCCGGUACUACCUGUGGGAGUGACGUGGAGACGGAGUCGUGACAGCGCCGCGGACUGACGGAAUAGUCCGUUGAAGGGUGUAGAUGCUGAUUGUUCCAGGCAAAUCCGGAGCAAGAGUCGAACCUGAUAGUAUGGAGCGUUCUUAGAACAAUCCAAUAGUGCGUGUAAUCAUACUUCCAAGAAAAUCCGCUAAACUUAAUCCUGCAGGUACCCGUACCGCAAACGGACACACGUAGUCGGGUUGAAUAUACUAAGGCGCUUGAGUGAUUCACGGUUAAGGAACUAGGCAAACUGACCCUGUAACUUCGGGAUAAAGGGUCCUCGCUUUACGGCGAGGCGCAGAGAAUAGGUCCAGGCAACUGUUUAACAAAAACACAGGGCUGUGCAAAAUUGAAAGAUGAAGUAUACAGCCUGACACCUGCCCGGUGCUGGAAGGUUAAGAGGAGAUGUCAUCGCAAGAGAAGCAUUGAAUUGAAGCCCCAGUAAACGGCGGCCGUAACUAUAACGGUCCUAAGGUAGCGAAAUUCCUUGUCGGGUAAGUUCCGACCUGCACGAAUGGUGUAAUGAUCUGGACGCUGUCUCAACCGUGAGCU
This 2013-nucleotide ribosomal RNA is filed under the name human gut metagenome. RNAcentral describes it as "bacterial LSU rRNA". It matches the Rfam family "Bacterial large subunit ribosomal RNA", at positions 1 to 2033 of the family's 2925-position model. The record is from RNAcentral.